AGCGGCGGACGGGUGAGUAACACGUGAGUAACCUGCCUUAGACAUUGGGAUAGCCUCGGGAAACCGGGAUUAAUACCAAAUAAAAUCAUAAUGACACAUGUCAUAACGAUCAAAACUCCGGUGGUCUAAGAUGGACUCGCGUCCCAUUAGCUAGUUGGUAGAGUAAAAGCCUACCAAGGCGACGAUGGGUAGCCGGCCUGAGAGGGUGAUCGGCCACAUUGGGACUGAGAUACGGCCCAG
RNAcentral lists this ribosomal RNA (240 nucleotides) under uncultured Eubacteriales bacterium. RNAcentral's name for it is "uncultured Clostridiales bacterium partial 16S ribosomal RNA". It matches the Rfam family "Bacterial small subunit ribosomal RNA", at positions 94 to 334 of the family's 1533-position model. Lineage: Bacteria; Bacillati; Bacillota; Clostridia; Eubacteriales. The record is from RNAcentral.